Molecule: ribosomal RNA, 1193 nt
Filed under: Candidatus Phytoplasma sacchari
Lineage: Bacteria; Bacillati; Mycoplasmatota; Mollicutes; Acholeplasmatales; Acholeplasmataceae
Description: bacterial SSU rRNA
Rfam family: Bacterial small subunit ribosomal RNA
Source: RNAcentral
GGGGUAGGCAUCUUUUUAUUUUUAAAACCUUUUUCGGAAGGUAUGCUUAAAGAGGGGCUUGCGUCACAUUAGUUAGUUGGCAGGGUAAAGGCCUACCAAGACUAUGAUGUGUAGCUGGACUGAGAGGUUGAACAGCCACAUUGGGACUGAGACACGGCCCAAACUCCUACGGGAGGCAGCAGUAGGGAAUUUUCGGCAAUGGAGGAAACUCUGACCGAGCAACGCCGCGUGAACGAUGAAGUAUUUCGGUAUGUAAAGUUCUUUUAUUGAAGAAGAAAAAAUAGUGGAAAAACUAUCUUGACGAUAUUCAAUGAAUAAGCCCCGGCAAACUAUGUGCCAGCAGCCGCGGUAAUACAUAGGGGGCGAGCGUUAUCCGGAAUUAUUGGGCGUAAAGGGUGCGUAGGCGGUUUAAUAAGUCUAUAGUUUAAUUUCAGUGCUUAACACUGUCCUGCUAUAGAAACUAUUAGACUAGAGUGAGAUAGAGGCAAGUGGAAUUCCAUGUGUAGCGGUAAAAUGCGUAAAUAUAUGGAGGAACACCAGAGGCGUAGGCGGCUUGCUGGGUCUUUACUGACGCUGAGGCACGAAAGCGUGGGGAGCAAACAGGAUUAGAUACCCUGGUAGUCCACGCCGUAAACGAUGAGUACUAAGUGUCGGGAUUACUCGGUACUGAAGUUAACACAUUAAGUACUCCGCCUGAGUAGUACGUACGCAAGUAUGAAACUUAAAGGAAUUGACGGGACUCCGCACAAGCGGUGGAUCAUGUUGUUUAAUUCGAAGAUACACGAAAAACCUUACCAGGUCUUGACAUACUCUGCAAAGCUAUAGCAAUAUAGUGGAGGUUAUCAGAGAUACAGGUGGUGCAUGGUUGUCGUCAGCUCGUGUCGUGAGAUGUUAGGUUAAGUCCUAAAACGAGCGCAACCCUUGUCAUUAGUUGCCAGCAUGUCAUGAUGGGCACUUUAAUGAGACUGCCAAUGAAAAAUUGGAGGAAGGUGAGGAUCACGUCAAAUCAUCAUGCCCCUUAUGAUCUGGGCUACAAACGUGAUACAAUGGCUGUUACAAAGAGUAGCUGAAACGCAAGUUUAUAGCCAAUCUCAUAAAAGCAGUCUCAGUUCGGAUUGAAGUCUGCAACUCGACUUCAUGAAGUUGGAAUCGCUAGUAAUCGCGAAUCAGCAUGUCGCGGUAAAUUCUAACGU